This 89-nucleotide ribosomal RNA is filed under the name Neobacillus sp. BSR1-1. Lineage: Bacteria; Bacillati; Bacillota; Bacilli; Caryophanales; Bacillaceae. The record is from RNAcentral.
CCGUUCCCAUACCGAACACGGAAGUUAAGCUUCUCAGCGCCGAUGGUAGUUGGGGCACGCGCCCCUGUGAGAGUAGGACGUUGCCAGGC